Long non-coding RNA from Leucoraja erinaceus (little skate), 1046 nucleotides. RefSeq lists it as uncharacterized. The record is from RefSeq and is a predicted model, not a curated record. Lineage: Eukaryota; Metazoa; Chordata; Chondrichthyes; Rajiformes; Rajidae. The transcript is spliced from 6 exons.
GAUAUAAUCGAGUUACGAAACAACGCAAAAACACAUAGUCUCCGGAGCACGCGUUGACAGGGUGCUUGCUAGUCACUGCAAACUGCCCGGAGGAAGAGCCGGAUUGCCUGCUUGAGGGUCUCCUAUUCUAUCUCCCCCCCCUCCCUACCUGGUUGUAUUUCACUCCGGACUCUGCCUGUGGGAUGGAUAUCCAUCGCGGUCUCCGUCCGGCACCUGAACGCAGUCACUUUGCAAAAACAAGCGCCACUCUCGUGUGUGGGUGUGGAUCAGCCGGGACUGCCUGUUUUAUUUUUUAAAAACCUAUAAAUCUACAUCCGUAUGUGUCGGGGAAGGUCGAUAGGUCGCAGGGCCGGACAGCUCGGACAAACCUCCAAAUAUGGCUUUGACAGAUCUGGAGGGUCGCAUAUUCUGAAGCCUUGCUGAGAACUUCCUUUGCCAAUGAGGUGAUGAGCUCCAUCAUGGGAUCAGAUGGUGAAGGUCUGGUUCCCAAGGCUUGUGUAGACCGUCCGCAGAUAAGAACAACAACGGGCACAGACCUCGGCUGUUUGCAGAUUUGACAGCAGAAAAUAUUGCUUCUCUUGCUGAUGGAAGUGAACACGGGCAAGGCUUAAUGGAAGACGGCUUCGAUCCUGCCAUGGGAUUCUGUUUGAGGUUGGCCCUUUCAUGGGAUUGGAACUGGCGCUGAAGUGGAAGUGAAGAUGUGCGCAGUAAUUGGAACUACGAUAUGAUACGUUACGGGUUAUUGUGAGGAAGUUGUUUCGAAGGAAUCUUCUCCGUGCAAAGGUCAUGCAUCAGGAUCUCUCCCUCCUGAGGUGAAUUUUACUUUUAUGUCGAGUACAAGCCAAAUGGACUGUCAUGUCUUACUUCCUUUUGAAUAUUCUUUAAAGAUGUGAUUAGUACGGAGGUCACGGGGAGAAGGCAGGAGAAUGGGGUUUGGGGGGGAGAGAUAGAUCAGCCUUGAUUGAAUGGCGGAGUAGACUGGAUGGGCCGAAUGGCCUAAUUCUGAUCUAUAACGUAUGAGUGAGGGUUGUCAGUAAGAGGACAUG